GACGAACGCUGGCGGCGUGCUUAACACAUGCAAGUCGAGCGGGUAAGGCCCUUUCGGGGGUACACGAGCGGCGAACGGGUGAGUAACACGUGGGUGACCUGCCCUCAGCUCUGGGAUAAGCCUGGGAAACCGGGUCUAAUACUGGAUAUGACUCCACUGACGCAUGUUGUGGGGUGGAAAGCCUUGUGCGGCUGAGGAUGGGCCCGCGGCCUAUCAGCUUGUUGGUGGGGUGANGGCCUACCAAGGCGA
This 249-nucleotide ribosomal RNA is filed under the name uncultured bacterium. RNAcentral's name for it is "partial 16S ribosomal RNA". It matches the Rfam family "Bacterial small subunit ribosomal RNA", at positions 28 to 276 of the family's 1533-position model. The record is from RNAcentral.